RNAcentral lists this ribosomal RNA (501 nucleotides) under uncultured bacterium. RNAcentral describes it as "bacterial SSU rRNA". It matches the Rfam family "Bacterial small subunit ribosomal RNA", at positions 417 to 917 of the family's 1533-position model. The record is from RNAcentral.
UUCGGGGUGUAAACCACUGUUGCCCGGGACGAAACUCUCCUUUUGAGGAGAUUGACGGUACCGGGUGAGGAAGCACCGGCUAACUCUGUGCCAGCAGCCGCGGUAAUACAGAGGGUGCGAGCGUUGUCCGGAAUCACUGGGCGUAAAGGGCGCGUAGGCGGCUCAGUAAGGUUGCGGUGAAAGCCCGGGGCUCAACCCCGGGUCGGCCGUGGCAACUGCUGGGCUGGAGCACUGUAGAGGCAGGUGGAAUUCCGGGUGUAGCGGUGGAAUGCGUAGAGAUCCGGAAGAACACCGGUGGCGAAGGCGGCCUGCUGGGCAGUAGCUGACGCUGAUGCGCGACAGCGUGGGGAGCAAACAGGAUUAGAUACCCUGGUAGUCCACGCCGUAAACGAUGGGCACUAGGUGCUUGGGGGAGCGACCCUCCGAGUGCCGGCGCUAACGCAUUAAGUGCCCCGCCUGGGGAGUACGGCCGCAAGGCUGAAACUCAAAUGAAUUGACGGA